GUCUACAAUAUUUUUAGUAAAAUAAAUAUUUUAAAUUUGUGUUUGUUACAAAUUGGCGCAGUCGACAGGAUACGUUAAUAAUUAGGUUACUACAAGUGUGUGUUGAAUCAUGAUCAUCAAAUUUAUGAUUCGCAAGUCUGCUGAAACUGGAACUUUCACCGUUAACCGUUAUUUGUUAGACGGAGAGGACACGUAGGGUGAAGUGGACGAAAUGUUUCAAGAUACUGAAAACCACGACGUAUUGACAGAAUCGAAUUCAGUAAUUAUAGCUAUGAAAGUCAUGAAACAAUCUAGAACUGUGGCAGUGAACUUAACUGAUGAAGAAGGUAAGCUCUACAUAAAUAAAAUAUUCACGCGAACCGGGACUCCAGUAAGGUUUGAAACAUCUCAUAAAGAAUCAGUACAACAAUUAAUAGAGUUACAACUGGCUCAAAUAAAAAAAAACAGGAUGAAACGCUGAA
This 461-nucleotide long non-coding RNA is filed under the name Androctonus crassicauda. The record is from RNAcentral. Lineage: Eukaryota; Metazoa; Arthropoda; Arachnida; Scorpiones; Buthidae.